RNAcentral lists this ribosomal RNA (474 nucleotides) under uncultured eubacterium WR8162. Its description in RNAcentral is "bacterial SSU rRNA". It matches the Rfam family "Bacterial small subunit ribosomal RNA", at positions 9 to 527 of the family's 1533-position model. The record is from RNAcentral.
GAGUUUGAUCAUGGCUCAGAACGAACGCUGGCGGCAUGCCUAACACAUGCAAGUCGAACGAUGCCCUUCGGGGCAUAGUGGCGCACGGGUGCGUAACGCGUGGGAAUCUGCCCUUGGGUACGGAACAACAGUUAGAAAUGACUGCUAAUACCGUAUGAUGUCUUCGGACCAAAGAUUUAUCGCCCAGGGAUGAGCCCGCGUUGGAUUAGGUAGUUGGUGGGGUAAAGGCCUACCAAGCCGACGAUCCAUAGCUGGUCUGAGAGGAUGAUCAGCCACACUGGGACUGAGACACGGCCCAGACUCCUACGGGAGGCAGCAGUGGGGAAUAUUGGGCAAUGGGCGCAAGCCUGAUCCAGCAAUGCCGCGUGAGUGAUGAAGGCCUUAGGGUUGUAAAGCUCUUUUACCCGGGAAGAUAAUGACUGUACCGGGAGAAUAAGCCCCGGCUAACUCCGUGCCAGCAGCCGCGGUAAUACG